Molecule: unclassified non-coding RNA, 477 nt
Filed under: Hevea brasiliensis (rubber tree)
Lineage: Eukaryota; Viridiplantae; Streptophyta; Magnoliopsida; Malpighiales; Euphorbiaceae
Source: RNAcentral
CUCUAUAAUUAGGGAAAUUGUGCACAGCAGUGACAACGUUAGCCGUAUUGAAGAAAGUCAUAGCAUGAGCCGCUAAAAGCAUAUAGAGGCACAUAACCCAUAAAGGGGGUUUAGGUAGGAGGCCCAUAACGGUCAACCACAUAAGAUAAUAGCCAGCAAAGCACUGAAUAGCUCCGGCAAGCAGCACCACCCAUGGACCACCAAAACGACGACGACGGCGAGUGGUGACUGAUGAGUAGAGUAAGCCGGAAAGUAUGCCGACAUUAGCGCCGACAUCUUUGAAUACGGAGACGACAUUGAGGGAUGAUUGAUCGUAUCCUUGGGUAGAUUUGAGAAUGGAAGAAUAAAUGGCGAAUGUGUAGAGUGAACCGCUGGUACAUUGGAUCCAUAUACUAGCAACUGUGGCUACCCAUUUGGUGUUGAUCUUGGCCUUAAAACUGGGAUUGUAAUCUGGGUCUAAAUCCAUUUUUACUGAUU